Long non-coding RNA from Panicum virgatum (switchgrass), 2853 nucleotides. RefSeq lists it as uncharacterized. The transcript is spliced from 4 exons. NCBI's taxonomy places the organism in Eukaryota, Viridiplantae, Streptophyta, Magnoliopsida, Poales, Poaceae. The record is from RefSeq and is a predicted model, not a curated record.
CCCCCUCGCGAGACUCGCCGCCAGCUGCCGCCCUCCCGUCGGGCCUCCUCCUGGUCCGCCCCCCUUGUGCAUAUCACGCCCACCGCAUCCGCCGCCGCCCAUCCCCGUCGCGGCCGCCAACGCCUCUCACGUCCUCCGUCCGCCGGCACACGUCCUCUAUAGACGUGUUCUGCGGCCGCCACCACGGGGUGCACCUCCGCGUGCCGGUCUCUGCGAGGUGCGCGUUGGCCGCGCCGCCGCCACCACGUGGGUGGGCUUCGACGCCACCGUGGGGGAGCUCUACUACGCCGCAGCCAGGGCGGAUCCGCAGCUGGCCUUCCUCGCCGGCGUGUGGCACUGCAGGUGGUCGCCCCCUCACGCUCGCCGCCCAGCUCGUCGCUAGCGGUCGCCGUUACUCAAUAGAGGCAAACGGGUAUGUUAGCCGGGAGGAAAUUGACCUUUAAUACGGAGGAAGAUUUCUUUGAGUUUUACAAUAAUGCUUAUGCAUUCCGAAAGGAUUUAGUAUCAGGAAGGACAGGUUCAGGUACAAGCCUAGCACCAAGGAGUGACAUGGAGGAGAUUUGUGUGCUCAUUUGAAGGAUAUAGAGAUGAGAAGCAUUUUGAAAGGAUGGAUCAGAAAAGGCAGCCACGUGCCCUGACCCUAUGUGGAUGUAAUGCCAAGCUUGAUGUGCAGAGGAGUGAAAGCAGUGGCAUAUGGUAUGCGACUGAUUUUGUGGAUGUGCAUUCACAUCCCUUUGCUACACCAGAGCAUGCUUUUGUUUUGCGGUCGCACCAAGGGAUUAAUGAUCCUCAGAAGGCAGAGGCAGUUGAGCUCGGGCUUGGUGGGCUUCGUCCGUAUCAGAUCAUGGACGUCAUGGAGACCAGCCAUGGUGGUCAAAGAGAGACUUGAUUUCUUUCGCAGGAUCUGUACAAUUUUUUUUUCGAGGCAGAAGAAGGGAAAGGUACAAGGGAACGAUGCGGAAUUCGUGAUGAAUCAUAUGCGUCAGAUGCAAGAGAAAGAUCUGGACUUCAUUUUUAAGUAUAGUUUGGAUGCAGAAGGGACGCUUAAGAACGUUUUCUUGUCGGAUGCACAAUCUCAGCUGGACUAUGGUGUUUUUGGAGAUGUAAUGGUAUUCGACAGCACGUAAUGUGUGAACCGGUACAAUCUUACAUUUGUCCCUUUCAUAGGAGUUAAUCAUCAUCGAAGUACGGUUGUAUUAAUCAUCAUCGAAGUACGGUUGUAUUCAGUUGUGGUAUAUUGUCGGAUGAGACUAUUAUACCCUAUGUGUGGCUUCUUGAGGCAUUUUUGGAGGCGAUGCAUCAGCGGCAUCCAAGAUCGUUAAUCAUAGAUGGUGACACAACGAUGGCUAGAGCAAUGGAGAUCGUCUUGCCUAAUGCAGAUCACAGAUUGUGUAGCUGGCUCAUAGAGCAGAACAUGUUGAAACGAUUCCGUGGUGUGAAGCUCAGCAAUUUCAGAAAGUUUAUAUACUCUGCGAUGGAGGAAGGUGAAUUUGAUAGGCUUUGGAAAGAGUUUAGAGCUAACCAUAAUAUCAAACAAGAUAACCUAUGGGUAAAUAUGAUGUAUCAGCAAAGGAAGAAGUGGGCAGCUACUUUCACAAGAGGGAGGUAUUUCUUGGGCAUGCAAAGCAAUCAGAGGAGCGAGAGUCUGAACUCAAGGCUUCACAAUCAUUUGGAUCGGAAGAUGUCUCUAGUGUGGAGCAUUAUGAGUUCUGCACCUUUCACUAAGAUUUCUGCCGAUGAGCUUGAGAAAAGUGCCGCUCAAACCUUCACACCAGUCAUUUUCCGAAGAGUGAUCAUACAGAUUCGGAAAGGAUAUAAUUUAUUUGUUAGAGAGGUGUUAUUUCAUAAUGGAUCUUUGAGGUAUGAGGUUGCAAUGCAAAGCAAUAACCAGUGGUUUUUCCAUGUAGCUUGUACAUUUCGGUCAUCUUUGGCUGAUGCUAGAUCCCAUUGCCGGAAGAUGGAGCGUGAAGGAAUUCCAUGUGCACACAUUUCCUGCGUCCAUGAAGUAUGCUUGUAUUGGGAGCAUCCCUCCUUGCUGUGUAUAUCUUAGGUGGUCGAUGAAUGCUAAGAGUGCGUUCCCAACAGAGAUGCGUACCAACACCCAUGUGUGGACUGAACAAAUGGAUCAUUUCUAUUUACUUCGCAACAAGGGGAAUCGAGCUUUAUUCAAAGUUUCUAGAAGCCAACACGAUACAGAUAGGGUAAUGAAGUUAUUAGAUGAUAUCUUGAAGGAAGAUGUGGGUGACAAUGGAACAGAAGAGGAGACAUCAUUUGGUCCUCUGCCGGCUCACUUCUCAGCAGCCUAUCAAUCAUUUGGCUCCAAAGUUCCCGAUCCAGUGAAGAUUGUUACGAGAGGUGCUCCGCAAUCGAACUAGAGGUGGAAGGCGAGCCAUGAAUUCUGGAGUACUAACUGAAAGCGUGCAGGCAAAACGACCUGCUAAUGAUACAUGAUGGAGGGGAGUCUUUUAGAAUAAUUGACAAGACUGGAAGGGAUGAUGCCACCACUGUCAUCCAAAGAGAAGAGUGGCCAAAGUCGAGGCAAGAUGUGGAGAAGCAUUUCAGGAAGCUCAGAUAUUUGGACUCCCUAAGAUAGUAGACGUCGUGCUGGUCAUCAAAUAUUUCAUAACUAUGCUCUUGUAGAUUGAAUCUUAAGGCACAACUUGCCAAACAAUUUGCGGCCUUUUUUUAUCAAUUGUAUAUGCAGAGUUUAUUUAGCCACGCCUCUAGGCCACAUUCGGGAUGCAAGCAACGUCGUGGCUACUAUUUUAUUUGACAGUACUAUUGUAUUGGCAAGGCAAAGCCUGAAUGACAAUGAUAGAUUUUUUUAAUUGGAAAGAGAACCAUGUUGCCAAA